CUCUCUGCAGCUCAGUUGGUUAUAGAGCUCUGCACCGGAAUAGCAGGGCAGCAGGUUCGAUUUCUGCCAGAGGGC
Molecule: non-coding RNA, 75 nt
Organism: Paramuricea clavata
Lineage: Eukaryota; Metazoa; Cnidaria; Anthozoa; Malacalcyonacea; Plexauridae
Source: the annotation of a GenBank genome assembly